Molecule: ribosomal RNA, 253 nt
Filed under: uncultured bacterium
Lineage: Bacteria
Description: partial 16S ribosomal RNA
Rfam family: Bacterial small subunit ribosomal RNA
Source: RNAcentral
UACGUAGGGUGCGAGCGUUGUCCGGAAUUAUUGGGCGUAAAGAGCUCGUAGGCGGUUUGUCACGUCUGCUGUGAAAUCCCGAGGCUCAACCUCGGGCCUGCAGUGGGUACGGGCGGACUGGAGUGCGGUAGGGGAGAAUGGAAUUCCUGGUGUAGCGGUGGAAUGCGCAGAUAUCAGGAGGAACACCGAUGGCGAAGGCAGCUCUCUGGGCCGUAACUGACGCUGAGGAGCGAAAGCGUGGGGAGCGAACAGG